CAUUACAGUUAUGAGAUGAGUGAUAUUGAACCGAACAACAGAGUGGCAAGCUAAGAGGAAGGAUCGAACGGUAGAAUGGCAAGCUGGGAGGAAGGACCGAACGACAUAUUGUCAAGCAAAAAGGAAGGAAGGAGAACCUUGCACCAAACGGCUGAUCACAGUUGCACCGAAUGACAGAGAACCCUUGAAUCGAAUAACAGAGAGGAAGAAAGUGGAAUGCAUAAAGGAACACAUGUGAGGAGGGAGAAUAUUAAAUUGCGUGACUUCAUUCUAGAAUGAGUAACUUGUGUUGUGGUUUCUUUCUCUCUCUCUGGACUACCUUCUCUUUGAUCUUUUCUAAAAUUCUUUUGUCCUUGCCUCCUUUUUCAGGAAUGACUUUCAUCAUUGCUCUGCUACGACCCAUGCAAUUACACAACUGUUUUUAUUAUUUUGUUAAUGCCAAGUGUUGCUUGUACUGAGACUCAAAUAUGUUACUAAUACAAAUCCCCAAUACCCU
Molecule: long non-coding RNA, 496 nt
Filed under: Vigna radiata
Lineage: Eukaryota; Viridiplantae; Streptophyta; Magnoliopsida; Fabales; Fabaceae
Description: long non-coding RNA (VRAD_LNC018390)
Source: RNAcentral